RNAcentral lists this unclassified non-coding RNA (378 nucleotides) under uncultured bacterium. Its description in RNAcentral is "contains 16S-23S intergenic spacer region". The record is from RNAcentral.
UCCGGUUUGUCACCGGCAGUCCCCCAUGAGUCCCCGACUUAACUCGCUGGCAACACGGGGCAGGGGUUGCGCUCGUUGCGGGACUUAACCCAACAUCUCACGACACGAGCUGACGACAACCAUGCACCACCUGUGCACGGACUCCGAAGAGGGGCCGAUGUUUCCACCGGCUUUCCCGUGCAUGUCAAGCCCAGGUAAGGUUCUUCGCGUUGCUUCGAAUUGAACCACAUGCUCCACCGCUUGUGCGGGCCCCCGUCAAUUCCUUUGAGUUUAAGCCUUGCGGCCGUACUCCCCAGGCGGUCAACUUCACGCGUUAGCUUCGUUACCAAGGAAUUACUUCCCCGACAACCAGUUGACAUCGUUUAGGGCGUGGACUAC